CCUACGGGUGGCAGCAGUAGGGAAUAUUGCUCAAUGGGGGCAACUCUGAAGCAGCAAUGCCGCGUGCAGGAUGAAGGCUCUAUGAUUUUUAACCUGUUUUUUUACAGAAGAUAAUGACGAUAUCUAUCUAAUACUCACCGGCUCACUCCGUUCCGGCAGCCGCGGUACCAUGGAAGGUGCAAGGGUUAUUCGGAAGCUCUGGGCGUAAAGCGUGCGUAGGCGGGUUAAUAAGUCAGAUGUGAAAUCCUGUAGCUUAACUACAGAACUGCAUUUGAAACUGUUACGCUGGAGUGUGGUAGAGGUAGGUGGAAUUCUUGGUGUAGGGGUAAAAUGCGUAGAGAUCAAGAAGAAUACUGAUUGCGAAGGCGACCUGCUGGAACAUGACUGACGCUGAGGCACGAAAGCGUGGGGAGCAAACAGGAUUAGAUACCCUGGUAGUC
RNAcentral lists this ribosomal RNA (440 nucleotides) under uncultured bacterium. Its description in RNAcentral is "partial 16S ribosomal RNA". It matches the Rfam family "Bacterial small subunit ribosomal RNA", at positions 338 to 795 of the family's 1533-position model. The record is from RNAcentral.